UGUAGUCAUAUGCUUGUCUCAAAGAUUAAGCCAUGCAUGUCUAAGUAUAAGCAAUUUAUACCGUGAAACUGCGAAUGGCUCAUUAAAUCAGUUAUCGUUUAUUUGAUAGUACCUUACUACUUGGAUAACCGUGGUAAUUCUAGAGCUAAUACAUGCAGAAGCCCCGACUCCGGGAGGGGUGUAUUUAUUAGAUUAAGAACCAACGCCCUCCGGGGCUCCUUGGUGAUUCAUGAUAACUCGUCGAAUCGCACGGCCUUGCGCCGGCGAUGGUUCAUUCAAAUUUCUGCCCUAUCAACUUUCGACGGCUGGGUCUUGGCCAGCCGUGGUGACAACGGGUAACGGAGGGUUAGGGCUCGACCCCGGAGAAGGAGCCUGAGAGACGGCUACUACAUCCAAGGAAGGCAGCAGGCGCGCAAAUUACCCAAUCCCGACGCGGGGAGGUAGUGACAAUAAAUACUGAUACAGGGCUCUUUUGGGUCUUGUAAUUGGAAUGAGUACAAUUUAAACCCCUUAACGAGGAACAAUUGGAGGGCAAGUCUGGUAAUCG
RNAcentral lists this ribosomal RNA (547 nucleotides) under uncultured eukaryote. RNAcentral's name for it is "SSU rRNA". It matches the Rfam family "Eukaryotic small subunit ribosomal RNA", at positions 21 to 570 of the family's 1831-position model. The record is from RNAcentral.